CAGGGAUCCAACCCACGAUCUUGGCCUAUCAGGACAACACUAACCAAUCGAACUACCCAGCCAAGGCCGUGUUUUAAUCUGCUGAUCAAUAUUCUUCUGCACUGGAACUGGAAUUCUUGGAAAUAAGGGAAAUGCAUUUAUGGCGAUUGAGCAUGAUUAAUAGUGCAUACCUCUACCUGCGACCCUGGGCUGCUCCGAGCCUCGCUGCAAGACUGAGUCAAUCCUGCUAACGAAACAAGAACUGAGACAAGAGUGCAGUGAGGAGGCGCCAGGUGAGCUCCCCAGCACAGCCAAGCCAGCACCGACCCUGCCGCAGAAGCCCAGGGCCCAGAUAAUUUUAAUAAGCCCAACGCACAGGUAAC
Long non-coding RNA from Molossus molossus (Pallas's mastiff bat), 362 nucleotides. RefSeq lists it as uncharacterized. The record is from RefSeq and is a predicted model, not a curated record. The transcript is spliced from 3 exons. NCBI's taxonomy places the organism in Eukaryota, Metazoa, Chordata, Mammalia, Chiroptera, Molossidae.